UAGGGAAUCUUCGGCAAUGGACGAAAGUCUGACCGAGCAACGCCGCGUGAGUGAAGAAGGUUUUCGGAUCGUAAAACUCUGUUGUUAGAGAAGAACAAGGACGUUAGUAACUGAACGUCCCCUGACGGUAUCUAACCAGAAAGCCACGGCUAACUACGUGCCAGCAGCCGCGGUAAUACGUAGGUGGCAAGCGUUGUCCGGAUUUAUUGGGCGUAAAGCGAGCGCAGGCGGUUUCUUAAGUCUGAUGUGAAAGCCCCCGGCUCAACCGGGGAGGGUCAUUGGAAACUGGGAGACUUGAGUGCAGAAGAGGAGAGUGGAAUUCCAUGUGUAGCGGUGAAAUGCGUAGAUAUAUGGAGGAACACCAGUGGCGAAUGCGGCUCUCUGGUCUGUAACUGACGCUGAGGCUAGAAAGCGUGGGGAGCAAACAGG
Molecule: ribosomal RNA, 429 nt
Filed under: Gemmatimonadota bacterium
Lineage: Bacteria; Pseudomonadati; Gemmatimonadota
Description: Gemmatimonadetes bacterium partial 16S ribosomal RNA
Rfam family: Bacterial small subunit ribosomal RNA
Source: RNAcentral